CCUGCCUCAGCCUCCUGAAUAUCUGGGAUUACAGGCCAAAGAUUAUUAAUGCAUGAUGUGUAACAAUUUCAGGCAAAGGCAAUCAUCAGAUAUUAAGAAAGGGAUCAAGAAAUCGAGGAGGCAAAAGAACAGAAGAAGUAAAUACCUAUAGCUUGCCCAGAAGGUAAGAAGAAAAAGAAUGCCAAAAAUGUGGACCAUUUUAUUAUUUAGUUAAGCAUUAUAGUACUGCAAAUCCUUUUUCCACCAUCUUUUCAAACUUUUGCCGUGACAGAAUUGUUUUUGAUACCCACAUAGAAAAGAUUAAAUGAGUAGAAAAGAAGAUCAAUAUGAAAAAUUUAAAGGAACUGUCAUUUUUCAGCCUAGGAAGAGAGAGAAUGCCGAAAGACUUCUAAUGUAUGGAGUUUAAACAUCAGAUGGUGAUUGAUUGCUAUUAAUUUAUGUCAGCAAAGGAGGAGAAGAAAUACGUAAAACUGCCUCUGAAGAAUUUACAUUAAACACCAAAAGAAUCUGACUCUGAAAAUGAAGAAACAAGGAAUAUUGUUUGUUUUGGGAAUCAAAAAAAAAAAAAACUUCCCAUUUGAGUACACAAUUUCCUAAACAAGAUACAUGAUAAUUCCAUACACUAUGCUUUCCGAAGAAACUUUGUAAAACGUAUUUUCAUUAUUCAAAACUUGAAAACACAGAAACAAUAUGAUGCAAAAAAUUAUCUUUAGCAUUAUUCCACUAAGAUAAUUCAUUUUAACAUCCAUAUAUUCAUUAUUAUGUAAAAUACCUAUCAGUAUGUGGGUAUAUCUUUGUGUGUAUAUUUUAACAAAACAAAAUUCAAUAAAAAUUGAAAUACAGAAAUGACAAAAACACACAAAAAAUAUAAAUUAUUUCCAUUGUAGCAUAUAUUACCUUUUUCACCUAACAUUAUACUGUAGGAAUAUAUUCUUUCAUCAUUCAAUGCUUUUGAAAAUAUAAUAAUAUUCCAUUUUAAGGACAUGCUAUAAUUUAGUUCAUUAGUUUUUAAACUUUUAGAUUAUCUCAUUUUGUCAUCAUUUAAAAAAAGUGUUCCUGGAUGUCCUUUUGCAUAGACUUUUGAAUGUAUUUCUGACUAUUUUCUUAACCUGUCCUGUACUUCUGCAAGUAGAACUGCUUGAGCAGAGAUUAGGAGCAAUUUUAAGGUUUUUCAAAAAUCUUGACAAACUAUUCUGCAGGAAAAAUGUAUCUUGUUACCAUCAGCAUUUUUAAGUAACUAGUGACUAAUUGUAAAAAUAAUUGUGUUUCCUUGUAUUUAAGCCUUGCGCUAUAGAUUUUAAAAAUUUGUCCUUUUUUUUUUUUCAUUUGUAAAAAAAAGCCAUCUAAAAGACCUUAGAACCUGGUAUCAGCUGAAGCUUACUAAACCAUAUCAAGAAGAUCAUGUCAUUCUCAAGAAAAGCAUGUUUCAAAUAAAAAGGAAAUGUCA
Molecule: long non-coding RNA, 1447 nt
Filed under: Homo sapiens (human)
Lineage: Eukaryota; Metazoa; Chordata; Mammalia; Primates; Hominidae
Description: HSALNT0332398
Source: RNAcentral